Long non-coding RNA from Engraulis encrasicolus (European anchovy), 916 nucleotides. RefSeq lists it as uncharacterized. The record is from RefSeq and is a predicted model, not a curated record. Lineage: Eukaryota; Metazoa; Chordata; Actinopteri; Clupeiformes; Engraulidae. The transcript is spliced from 4 exons.
AAUUGUGAUGCCCAGAAUGACCUCAGUUGGCGAAUCAAAACUGUUUGGCGAAAAUGCUACGAGAAGAGGAGACAGGGAGAAGAGAGAACAUUAUGGAGGCCCCACUGCACAAAGACUAGCUGCUGCCACGUCACAACUGUCUGACGAAGACUGUGCUGGUGGAAUUCCCCCGUUUUAAAGAUGUCAAGGGCCUGGUUGAGCUGGACUUAAUGGAGAUAUUUGGAGAGGACACUUCACCGAACGGCUCAGCUCCAGGCCCUCAUCGAAAUCUCUGAGGCUUCUGGCCAUGUAAGCAGUGAUGAUGAAGAGGUCGGGAUAGUGCCAUGGCCAGGAUCCUCCUCCUGUUUGUUUCCACUGUCAGCACAGGGCCGCAAACGUCCAGCGAAAAUGUCAGCAGCUGCAGCAUAGAAGCGCCUUGUGAUGUCUCAGAAGACAGGAACCAGUGUACAGCACCACCUGGACACGAUUGCUGAGAGCAGGCAGCCCCACCUACCGGGACGAAGAAAAGUCAGGUUCACUGCUACUUCAUCAUACUAGACAUUGCUUGCCAUGCCGUGAGUGCUUUUGACAAACUGUUUAAAGCGGACUAUGUAUUUGCCACAUCCUACAACACCUCACUUUCCAAAAUGUACAUGUUCAACCAGACCUGGGUAGCACUUUCUUGUUGGACUAUUGGAUUACUUUGUGGAACUUAACGCACUGAAUCUUUCAGAACGGCAACUACCCUAAGCACACAAAUACAUCAAUAAAAGAAUGACUUCACCAGAAUAGGUUUGAGUGGGGUUUUGGAAUGGUACAGACCUAGUUCAGGCCUGAAUCCCAUCAGACACCUGCUGGGUGACCUCAGGAUAUGCACUUGCUAUCUGUCAGAUCUGGAGUGCUUUUGCAAAUAGGAGUGGACAAUAGAAAAAUUCCA